CCAAUAGCGUAUAUUAAAGUUGUUGCAGUUAAAAAGCUCGUAGUUGAAUUUCGGGAUCAGUAGGUCGGUCGUGCCACUGGUAUGAACUGGUCUCACUGGUUCCUCCCUCUUGACGAACUGCAAUGCUAUUAAUUUAGUGUAGUAGGAAAUCAGGACUGUUACUUUGAAAAAAUUAGAGUGUUUAAAGCAGGCUUUGGCUUGAAUACAUUAGCAUGGAAUAAUGAAAUAGGACGUUCGAUCCUAUUUUGUUGGCUUCUAGGAUUGACGUAAUGAUUAAUAGGGACAGUUGGGGGCAUUAGUAUUCAAUUGUCAGAGGUGAAAUUCUUGGAUUUAUUGAAGACUAACUACUGCGAAAGCAUUUGCCAAGGAUGUUUUCAUUAAUCAAGAACGAAAGUUAGGGGAUCGAAGACGAUCAGAUACCGUCGUAGUCUUAACCAUAAACUAUGCCGACUAGGGAUCGGAUGAUGUUAAUUUUUUAAUGACUCAUUCGGCGCCUUACG
RNAcentral lists this ribosomal RNA (500 nucleotides) under uncultured Glomeromycotina. Its description in RNAcentral is "partial small subunit ribosomal RNA". It matches the Rfam family "Eukaryotic small subunit ribosomal RNA", at positions 591 to 1092 of the family's 1831-position model. The record is from RNAcentral. Lineage: Eukaryota; Fungi; Glomeromycota.